UAGCAUAAUAAAUAGUCUUUUAAUUGGAGUCUAGUAUGAAUGGUCGGACAUGAAGUAAGCUGUUUCAGCUUUAGUGACUGAAUUUUACUUUUAAGUGAAAAGGCUUAAAUUGGGCGGUGGGACGAUAAGACCCUAUAAAGCUUUACAUUCCGUUCACUGUGCUGGGGAGUUAGGGUUUCUUGUUUUAGUUGGGCGGGCUGUUUCGUUGGGGCGACGGGAAUAAAAUAGUAACUGUUUCUUGCAUAAAAAUACAUGUUUGUAGGCGAGUUGAUCCUUUUUAGAGAUUAAAAGAUUUAAGUUACUUUAGGGAUAACAGCGUAAUUUCUCUUGAGAGUUCAUAUCGACAGAUGUAGUUGCGACCUCGAUGUUGAAUUAAAAUGCCCCCCAGGUGUAGCAGUUUUGGUGGUAGGUCUGUUCGACCUUUAAAA
RNAcentral lists this ribosomal RNA (428 nucleotides) under Caridina sp. Gulf1. Its description in RNAcentral is "partial 16S ribosomal RNA". It matches the Rfam family "Bacterial large subunit ribosomal RNA", at positions 1957 to 2593 of the family's 2925-position model. Lineage: Eukaryota; Metazoa; Arthropoda; Malacostraca; Decapoda; Atyidae. The record is from RNAcentral.